RNAcentral lists this ribosomal RNA (740 nucleotides) under uncultured bacterium. RNAcentral's name for it is "bacterial SSU rRNA". It matches the Rfam family "Bacterial small subunit ribosomal RNA", at positions 8 to 722 of the family's 1533-position model. The record is from RNAcentral.
AGAGUUUGAUCAUGGCUCAGAACGAACGCUGGCGGCGUGCUUAACACAUGCAAGUCUGACGGGAAAGUCCUCUUCGGAGGGCGAGUACAGUGGCGAACGGGUGAGUAACACGUGGGUAAUCUGCCCUCAGGAUCGGGAUAACCUUGCGAAAGCGGGGCUAAUACCGGAUAAGACCACGCUGUCCUCGGACAGCGCGGUAAAAGGUGGCCUCUCCAUGGAAGCUAUCACCAGAGGAUGAGCCCGCGGCCUAUUAGCUAGUUGGUGAGGUAACGGCUCACCAAGGCGACGAUGGGUAGCCGGCCUGAGAGGGUGUACGGCCACACUGGCACUGAGACACGGGCCAGACUCCUACGGGAGGCAGCAGUGAGGAAUUUUGCGCAAUGGGGGAAACCCUGACGCAGCAACGCCGCGUGAGUGAUGAAGGCCUUCGGGUUGUAAAGCUCUUUAAGUGGGGAAGAAACACUCCGGGACUAAUAAUCCCGGGGCUUGACGGUACCCACAGAAAAAGUUCCGGCUAACUACGUGCCAGCAGCCGCGGUAAAACGUAGGGAGCAAGCGUUGUUCGGAAUUAUUGGGCGUAAAGAGCGCGUAGGCGGCGUGGCAAGUCUGAUGUGAAAGCCCACAGCUCAACUGUGGAAUUGCAUCGGAUACUGCCAUGCUAGAGUUCGGGAGAGGAGAGUGGAAUUCCCAGUGUAGAGGUGAAAUUCGUAGAUAUUGGGAGGAACACCGGUGGCGAAGGC